Molecule: long non-coding RNA, 199 nt
Filed under: Elaeis guineensis (African oil palm)
Lineage: Eukaryota; Viridiplantae; Streptophyta; Magnoliopsida; Arecales; Arecaceae
Description: long non-coding RNA (EGUI_LNC075804)
Source: RNAcentral
CUUGGGCACUACAUGAGCUUCAAUUUGUACUAUAUAGAAGACUAUGGUUAGUCAUUUGUGUCCAAACUUUUAUACUCAUGAAAACUAUAGAACUAAUGUUAGACUUUCAAUAGAUGAUCAGAAUUUUCAACACUAAAUUGGAUUUACCUAGCUCUUGCCUCACUUGAAUCCUUUUUUUCUUUGUUUUUACCUCCUUUUU